RNAcentral lists this ribosomal RNA (756 nucleotides) under bacterium GD32SAN0%. RNAcentral's name for it is "bacterial SSU rRNA". It matches the Rfam family "Bacterial small subunit ribosomal RNA", at positions 60 to 827 of the family's 1533-position model. The record is from RNAcentral.
AGUCGAACGGUGAAGCCAAGCUUGCUUGGUGGAUCAGUGGCGAACGGGUGAGUAACACGUGAGCAACCUGCCCUGGACUCUGGGAUAAGCGCUGGAAACGGCGUCUAAUACUGGAUAUGAGCUCUCAUCGCAUGGKGGGGGUUGGAAAGAUUUUUCGGUUUGGGAUGGGCUCGCGGCCUAUCAGCUUGUUGGUGAGGUAAUGGCUCACCAAGGCGUCGACGGGUAGCCGGCCUGAGAGGGUGACCGGCCACACUGGGACUGAGACACGGCCCAGACUCCUACGGGAGGCAGCAGUGGGGAAUAUUGCACAAUGGGCGCAAGCCUGAUGCAGCAACGCCGCGUGAGGGAUGACGGCCUUCGGGUUGUAAACCUCUUUUGGUAGGGAAGAAGCCUUCGGRUGACGGUACCUGCAGAAAAAGCGCCGGCUAACUACGUGCCAGCAGCCGCGGUAAUACGUAGGGCGCAAGCGUUAUCCGGAAUUAUUGGGCGUAAAGAGCUCGUAGGCGGUCUGUCGCGUCUGCUGUGAAAUUCCGAGGCUCAACCUCGGGCUUGCAGUGGGUACGGGCAGACUAGAGUGCGGUAGGKGAGAUUGGAAUUCCUGGUGUAGCGRUGRAAUGCGCAGAUAUCAGGAGGAACMCCGAUGGYGAAGGCAKAUCUCUGGGCCGUUACUGACGCUGAGGARCGAAAGGGUGKGGARCAAACAGGCUUAGAUACCCUGGUAGUCCACCCCGUAAACGUUGGGAACUAGUUGUGGGG